UGAUCAUGGCUCAGAUUGAACGCUGUCGGCAGGCCUAACACAUGCAAGUCGAACGGUAACAGGAAACAGCUUGCUGUUUCGCUGACGAGUGGCGGACGGGUGAGUAAUGUCUGGGAAACUGCCUGAUGGAGGGGGAUAACUACUGGAAACGGUAGCUAAUACCGCAUAACGUCGCAAGACCAAAGAGGGGGACCCUCGGGCCUCUUGCCAUCGGAUGUGCCCAGAUGGGAUUAGCUUGUUGGUGGGGUAACGGCUCACAAGGCGACGAUCCCUAGCUGGUCUGAGAGGAUGACCAGCCACACUGGAACUGAGACACGGUCCAGACUCCUACGGGAGGCAGCAGUGGGGAAUAUUGCACAAUGGGCGCAAGCCUGAUGCAGCCAUGCCGCGUGUAUGAAGAAGGCCUUCGGGUUGUAAAGUACUUUCAGCGGGGAGGAAGGGAGUAAAGUUAAUACCUUUGCUCAUUGACGUUACCCGCAGAAGAAGCACCGGCUAACUCCGUGCCAGCAGCCGCGGUAAUACGGAGGGUGCAAGCGUUAAUCGGAAUUACUGGGCGUAAAGCGCACGCAGGCGGUUUGUUAAGUCAGAUGUGAAAUCCCCGGGCUCAACCUGGGAACUGCAUCUGAUACUGGCAAGCUUGAGUCUCGUAGAGGGGGGUAGAAUUCCAGGUGUAGCGGUGAAAUGCGUAGAGAUCUGGAGGAAUACCGGUGGCGAAGGCGGCCCCCUGGACGAAGACUGACGCUCAGGUGCGAAAGCGUGGGGAGCAAACAGGAUUAGAUACCCUGGUAGUCCACGCCGUAAACGAUGUCGACUUGGAGGUUGUGCCCUUGAGGCGUGGCUUCCGGAGCUAACGCGUUAAGUCGACCGCCUGGGGAGUACGGCCGCAAGGUUAAAACUCAAAUGAAUUGACGGGGGCCCGCACAAGCGGUGGAGCAUGUGGUUUAAUUCGAUGCAACGCGAAGAACCUUACCUGGUCUUGACAUCCACGGAAGUUUUCAGAGAUGAGAAUGUGCCUUCGGGAACCGUGAGACAGGUGCUGCAUGGCUGUCGUCAGCUCGUGUUGUGAAAUGUUGGGUUAAGUCCCGCAACGAGCGCAACCCUUAUCCUUUGUUGCCAGCGGUCCGGCCGGGAACUCAAAGGAGACUGCCAGUGAUAAACUGGAGGAAGGUGGGGAUGACGUCAAGUCAUCAUGGCCCUUACGACCAGGGCUACACACGUGCUACAAUGGCGCAUACGAAGAGAAGCGACCUCGCGAGAGCAAGCGGACCUCAUAAAGUGCGUCGUAGUCCGGAUUGGAGUCUGCAACUCGACUCCAUGAAGUCGGAAUCGCUAGUAAUCGUGGAUCAGAAUGCCACGGUGAAUACGUUCCCGGGCCUUGUACACACCGCCCGUCACACCAUGGGAGUGGGUUGCAAAAGAAGUAGGUAGCUUAACCUUCGGGAGGGCGCUUACCACUUUGUGAUUCAUGACUGGGGUGAAGUCGUAACAAGGUAACCGUAGGGGAACCUGCGGUUG
Molecule: ribosomal RNA, 1515 nt
Filed under: metagenome
Description: bacterial SSU rRNA
Rfam family: Bacterial small subunit ribosomal RNA
Source: RNAcentral